GUUUCCCUGCAUCAUCCUGCUCCCCUCUCCCCUCUACCUGUAGCGCUUGGUGUUGAUGAGCCAAUGCACGAAGUCCUUGGCCUUCAUCUUGUCCAGGGAUGGGAAGGAGAUCGGCACUCAGCCUUGCUCACCACGCUGCCAACACAACCUUUGGGUCUGGGCACUGUGAAACCCCCGUGGGACGUGGCAAUGUGGGCUGUCAGAAUGGCCGAAUCCAAAGGAAUCAGGCACAACUCAAUAGCCCGGAGCUCAGCUCUCAGCCCACAGCAGCCGCUGCCCACAGCCAACCAACCACCCGAUGCCAUACCUGAGUGCAUCCCCCGUGUCCCUGGGAGCCACCUGCCACGCUGCUGGGAUCAGCACAGCCAACACCAGCCCGGAGAGGUACAGCCAACGGAUGAGCUUCAUUUGCCCUCCUGGAAUUCAGACAGAAAAGUACAGCUUGCCAUCACCGUGAAACCCCCUCCAACCCUUCCAGCAUGGCAAGGAUGGAUGUGGAAAGGGAGAGAUCCCUCCCA
RNAcentral lists this long non-coding RNA (518 nucleotides) under Gallus gallus (chicken). Its description in RNAcentral is "long non-coding RNA NONGGAT009473". Lineage: Eukaryota; Metazoa; Chordata; Aves; Galliformes; Phasianidae. The record is from RNAcentral.